This 530-nucleotide ribosomal RNA is filed under the name uncultured Entrophosporaceae. RNAcentral's name for it is "SSU rRNA". It matches the Rfam family "Eukaryotic small subunit ribosomal RNA", at positions 569 to 1092 of the family's 1831-position model. Lineage: Eukaryota; Fungi; Glomeromycota; Glomeromycetes; Entrophosporales; Entrophosporaceae. The record is from RNAcentral.
AGCAGCCAUUGCGGUAAUUCCAGCUCCAAUAGCGUAUAUUAAAGUUGCUGCGGUUAAAAAGCUCGUAGUUGAAUUUCGGAAUUGAUGCAUCGGUCGUGCCUUAAGGGGCAUGAACUGGUGUAGCCAAUUUCUCACCUUCUGGUGAAUUGUGAUGUUCUUAAUGGGUGUCUCAAUGAACUAGAAUUUUUUACUUUGAAAAAAUUAGAGUGUUUAAAGCAGGUAUUAAUUUGCUUGAAUACAUUAGCAUGGAAUAAUGAAAUAGGACAGUGGUUCAGUUUUGUUGGUUUCUAGGAUCACGUAAUGAUUAAUAGGGACAGUUGGGGGCAUUAGUAUUCAAUUGUCAGAGGUGAAAUUCUUGGAUUUAUUGAAGACUAACUAUUGCGAAAGCAUUUGCCAAGGAUGUUUUCAUUAAUCAAGAACGAAAGUUAGGGGAUCAAAGACGAUUAAGUACGUCGUAGUCCUAACCAUAAACUAUACCAACUAGGAAUCAGACGAUGUUAAUUUUUUAAUGACUCGUUUGGUACCUUACG